This 403-nucleotide ribosomal RNA is filed under the name uncultured bacterium. Its description in RNAcentral is "partial 16S ribosomal RNA". It matches the Rfam family "Bacterial small subunit ribosomal RNA", at positions 28 to 526 of the family's 1533-position model. The record is from RNAcentral.
GUUGAACGCUGGCGGCAGGCCUAACACAUGCAAGUCGAGCGAGCGGCGGACGGGUGAGUAAUGUAUGGGGACUGCCCGGUAGAGGGGGCUAACUACUGGAAACGGUAGCUACUAACGCAUCCUAUCGGAUAACACAUAUGGGAUUCGCUAGGAGGUGAGGUAAUGGCUCACCUAGACGACGAUCCCUAGCUGGUCUGGUAGGAUGAUCAGCCACACUGGAACUGAGACACGGCCCAGACUCCUACGGAGGCAGCGGUGGGGAAGAUGGCACAAUGGGCGCAAGCCUGAUGCAGCCAUGCCGCGUGUAUGAAGAAGUCCCGAGGGUUGUAAAGUACUUUCAGUCGGGAGGCGUUACCGACAGAAGAAGCACCGGCUAACUCCGUGCCAGCAGCCGCGGUAAUUC